AUUGAACGCUGGCGGCAGGCUUAACACAUGCAAGUCGAACGGUAGCAGGAGAAAGCUUGCUUUCUUGCUGACGAGUGGCGGACGGGUGAGUAAUGCUUGGGAAUCUGGCUUAUGGAGGGGGAUAACUACGGGAAACUGUAGCUAAUACCGCGUAAUAUCGAAAGAUUAAGGUGUGGGACCUUCGGGCCACAUGCCAUAAGAUGAGCCCAAGUGGGAUUAGGUAGUUGGUGGGGUAAAGGCCUACCAAGCCGACGAUCUCUAGCUGGUCUGAGAGGAUGACCAGCCACACUGGAACUGAGACACGGUCCGGACUCCUACGGGAGGCAGCAGUGGGGAAUAUUGCGCAAUGGGGGGAACCCUGACGCAGCCAUGCCGCGUGAAUGAAGAAGGCCUUCGGGUUGUAAAGUUCUUUCGGUAUUGAGGAAGGGAUGUGUGCUAAUAGUAGACAUCAUUGACGUUAAAUACAGAAGAAGCACCGGCUAACUCCUUGCCAGCAGCCGCGGUAAUACGGAGGGUGCGAGCGUUAAUCGGAAUAACUGGGCGUAAAGGGCACGCAGGGCGGUUAUUUAAGUGAGGUGUGAAAGCCCCGGGCUUAACCUGGGAAUUGCAUUUCAGACUGGGUAACUAGAGUACGUUAGGGGAGGGGGAAAAUACCCACGCGUCCCGGAGAAAUACAGAAAAAAGAGGAAUAAAAACCAAAAGGAGGAGGGGUUCCCUUGUGG
This 722-nucleotide ribosomal RNA is filed under the name uncultured Haemophilus sp. RNAcentral's name for it is "bacterial SSU rRNA". It matches the Rfam family "Bacterial small subunit ribosomal RNA", at positions 28 to 715 of the family's 1533-position model. Lineage: Bacteria; Pseudomonadati; Pseudomonadota; Gammaproteobacteria; Pasteurellales; Pasteurellaceae. The record is from RNAcentral.